Molecule: long non-coding RNA, 643 nt
Organism: Passer domesticus (house sparrow)
Lineage: Eukaryota; Metazoa; Chordata; Aves; Passeriformes; Passeridae
Exons: 3
Source: RefSeq, a predicted model, not a curated record
AUAAGACUAAAACAGUUCAAAACAUCACUUGUGUUUUCUGGCACAGAGAGUUCAGUCAGAGAAGAGAAGGCAUGGCAGAAAUGGCUGUGAUAAUCCAUCAUACCAUUACAAUUUUAAAACAGAAGUUAUGGUAAUAUUAAGGGGAAACAAUGGCAGUUAGGAUUAUCCUCUGAAGGGCACUUUAAUGGAAUGGACUUGUAACAGGACUGUCCAUCUUCUUAAUGAAGUUAGUGAUCUUAAUUAAGUAGGUGUUUAUCAACUACACAUCCCAGUUAUGCCACUUUUCUUUCCCUACACCUGCUUCUCAUAUCUCUUACACUUUGUGAUACAUUAAUUUCUUUUUUAUUCAGAGAGCUGGGGAGAAUGGAGAAGUUCCAAUAGCUGGGAGUGAAAGAUCAGUAUCAGAACUACAUUUCAAAAUGCAAAAAUGGAAGAUCCUGUGCAAACUUCAGUGCGAAAGAAGAUGUGUGACUAGAAAUUGAAGUCUAUGGGAGUAAUCAGAGAAGGCAGGACAUGGACAAGAACCGCAGAGAAGGCACUCUGUAAGAGGAAUAUGCUGCUUUUGGGGUUGAAUUCCUAAAUCAAACCAAGAGUCACAUUAAUGAUCAUGACAAGAUGAGAAACUACCACAAAAAAAUCUCAA